GGGAAUGUGGCUUAGUGGUAGAGUACUUGCAUAACAUGCAUGAAGCCCUGGGUUCAAUUCCUCAGUACCA
Dipodomys ordii (Ord's kangaroo rat) is the source of this 70-nucleotide non-coding RNA. The record is from Rfam. NCBI's taxonomy places the organism in Eukaryota, Metazoa, Chordata, Mammalia, Rodentia, Heteromyidae.